Candidatus Desantisbacteria bacterium CG1_02_49_89 is the source of this 143-nucleotide non-coding RNA. Lineage: Bacteria; Candidatus Desantisiibacteriota. The record is from Rfam.
CAGUCAGUUGCAAAUAACUGACCCAGAUAAGAUUUGGCAGUCUGGUAGCAAGAAGCCAGAAAGGAAGGAGCAAUCUUUCUUUUCUAAGCGGCUUGACAAAGUCCGCCUCGGGCGGGCGAUGCAAAAGACGGGUUGCAACGAAA